AAACAAUCAUCAUCUGCCAGCCUGAAUCUCUGCAGCAGGGAUGCUCAGGGAGAUGAGAGUCUCAGCUCCAGGAGAUCCAGCUGUUCUCUGGAGGAGUGGAAACACACCCAGCGCUGCCUGGGAGGGCGAAUCUGCAGAGACAGAGCUGUGCAUAAACCCACUGCAACACCAGCUGCAGCACCAACUGCAACACCAGAUGCAGCACCAGAUGCAGCACCAGAUGCAGCACCAACUGCAACACCAGCUGCAACACCAACUGCAGCACCAGCUGCACCACCAACUGCAGCACCAGCUGCACCACUAACUGCAGCACCAGCUGCACCACCAGCUGCACCAUCAGCUGCAGCACCAACUGCAGCACCAGCUGCAACACCAGCUGCAGCACCAACUGCAACACCAACUGCAGCACCAGCUGCUCCUCCUGCAGCACUAGCUGCUCCUCCUGCAGCUGCAGGAGCACCAGGGCAGCCUGGCAGGGGCACAGUUCCUCAGCAGGUGCUUCCACAAAAAAUUUUCUCUACCGAACCCACACCAAGAAAUUAAGACCAGAAGAACAGAACACCCGAAUCACUUGUCUCAAGGACCUUUUCUAAAACAAACCCCCCAAAACACUGACACAUGUGGGUUAAUUUUACUGACAUUCACAAGUUCUUCACUUGCUGAAAAUGAAAAUGCACACAGGGAGUGGCUGGAGCUCCCAGAGUGGAGCAGCUGGCAGCAGUCUGGCAGCAGGGAUGCACAUGAGGGCUGAGCUGGUCCCUUCCAGGGCCCCUCUCCUCAUCUGUCACCUCCAGCUCCAGAAAAAGCCCCUGACAGGAGCACAAAAGAGCUGCAGUUCUCCAGCAGGAGACUCAGGGCUCUCAUUUUCCAAGGCUCACAUCAUUUCUUUAGUGCAGCAGUUGAUGAUCCACCUCCAGACACUCCAGUGAAUUCAGCACUUCAGCCACGCUCUCCAAACCUGACAGAAUUUCCCCUCUGUCGAUGAGUCAUUAGCAGAGCAUUUCCAUUUUCCUCUCACUUAACUCCACUGGAAUACAAUCCCACUCGCUGGAGUGACACAGGCAGGACUGAUUUCCUUGGGAGAGUUUCUGCCCCCUUCUCCUUCUCUAGAGUUCUUCAAAGGAAGAAGAAUUGCAAGAUGACAGUCACAGGAUGUGAUUCAGAAACCCCUCCAGCAUCCACAGCUCCCAUCCCCUGGAUCAGAACAAGAGAAACAUCCCUGGAAUUGUGGAGGAUGUGGGAACGUGAACGUGGCUGCUCUUUGGUGACACAAAUCUGAGAUCAGAAGUUUUUGUUAAACAUACAAAUCCUUCCCCAGCCAGCACAAAUUAAAGUUCAAGCAGCUGGAUGUUGUGGCCAGCCUCUGUCCCAGGGAGUUUAGCACCUGCCCUGCCAAAAAUGUGGAAUAUCCUUUGAUAAUCAGCUCCAACACAGGUUUUCCACCAGAUUUCCAGAUUUCCCAGAUCAGCCCCACCACUCUCAGAGGCUCAGAUCAGACUCUGCUCAUUCAGCUCCCAUCAUUUCCUGAUCUCUGCUCUGCUUC
RNAcentral lists this long non-coding RNA (1543 nucleotides) under Serinus canaria (Common canary). RNAcentral describes it as "lncRNA (ENSSCAG00000010760.1)". Lineage: Eukaryota; Metazoa; Chordata; Aves; Passeriformes; Fringillidae. The record is from RNAcentral.